This 482-nucleotide ribosomal RNA is filed under the name uncultured bacterium. Its description in RNAcentral is "partial 16S ribosomal RNA". It matches the Rfam family "Bacterial small subunit ribosomal RNA", at positions 30 to 507 of the family's 1533-position model. The record is from RNAcentral.
AUUGAACGCUGGCGGCAUGCCUCACACAUGCAAGUCGAACGGUAACAGGUCUUCGGCUGCUGCCGAGUGGCGGACGGGGGAGUAAUACAGCGGAACGUGCCCGAUCGUGGGUGUUAGCGGGGCGAAAGGUUUGCUAAUACAGCAUACUACCUACUACGGAAAGCGGGGGAUAUUCGGAGCUCUCCCGACCGUGGCGGCCGAUGGCAGAUUAGGUAGUUGGUGGGAUAAAAGCUUACCAAGCCGACGAUCCGUAGCUGGUCUGAGAGGAUGAUCAGCCACACUGGGACUGAGACACGGCCCAGACUCCUACGGGAGGCAGCAGUGGGGAAUUUUGGACAAUGGGCGAAAGCCUGAUCCAGCCAUGCCGCGUGCAGGAUGAAGGCCUUCGGGUUGUAAACUGCUUUUGUACGGAAAGAAAAGCAUCUUGCUAAUAAAGAGGGGUCAUGACGGUACCGAAAGAAUAAGCACCGGCUAACUACGUG